This is a long non-coding RNA of Gasterosteus aculeatus aculeatus (three-spined stickleback), 495 nucleotides long. NCBI's taxonomy places the organism in Eukaryota, Metazoa, Chordata, Actinopteri, Perciformes, Gasterosteidae. The record is from Ensembl.
CUUCAGCGAACCAUUUGUAAUUGCCGGUCAUCUGAAUGAGAAACCUCAAAUUAUUUUCACACAUUUGGUCACACUCUCCCUCAUGAAGAGGGCUUUUUUUUACCCCAGCCCACAAGUGAUAAAAGGCAAUGCCAAAAAUACUGUAUCACUAACAGGCGCGAUGCCCAGAAACAACUUUACGUGACUUCCUCCGAACCGCCCUGCACAAGCCGCAAAACAAGUUGGGCGCGACCCCCGAACAGAUGGAACCGGAGAACGCAACGGGUGCCACUCACAUAACCAGAGGCUCUUGACUUGAGUUACACGGAAGGGUGAUGAAGCAAGACCCCUCUUCUUUUGAUCCAACCCGAUUGUCGGAUUAGUUCCACAGAACAGGGCUUCCAGUUAUAGCCGCGCCAAACCCCGCCCGCCACCACAUCUAAGCAGGUAUGAGGGCCAACUGCUGCAUCCAAGGUUUCUACAUCCGAGGACGGGUCAGCACUGGUUGAAGGCAAG